GUCUCCGGCCAUGCCACCCUCAACAAGCCCGACUCCUCUGAUCUCGGAAGCUAAGCAGGGUCGGGCCUGGUUAGUACUUGGAUGGGAGACCACCUAGGAAGACCAGGAGCUGUAGGCU
This 118-nucleotide ribosomal RNA is filed under the name Pteropus alecto (black flying fox). The record is from RNAcentral. Lineage: Eukaryota; Metazoa; Chordata; Mammalia; Chiroptera; Pteropodidae.